Mesocricetus auratus (golden hamster) is the source of this 555-nucleotide long non-coding RNA. RefSeq lists it as uncharacterized. The record is from RefSeq and is a predicted model, not a curated record. NCBI's taxonomy places the organism in Eukaryota, Metazoa, Chordata, Mammalia, Rodentia, Cricetidae. The transcript has 2 exons.
GGCUCCGCCUCCGGCCCGCCUCCCUCCCCCACCCCCCGCCCGGCUGCCCCGCACCCCGACUCGGGGGGCCACUCGCACCCGGCAUCUCCGGUAUCCCGGUGCGCCUUAGCCCCGUGGGUGGCCGCCGCCCCGCGCGCGGCUGCCGACAGGAGCCGGCUCCCAGGCGCUUCCCUCCCACCCAGUCACCAACACUGCGUUUCAGGGGACACGCUGGCAUGGGCGACACCCGGACCCCCACCCCACCCCCUUUCCAGUCCGUGACUUAAGAUGUACGGGAAGGGCUUUCUCCGGCGGAACCUGAGCCGGCGCUGCCACGCUACCCCGAUGGCUGAAAGCUGCUCCCAGACUUCCACCCAGCUCGCCCGCCCUUGCUGGAAUGCAGGCCUGGAGCUUUCUCUGCAGCCCGGAUCCCUGCCCGGUUCUUGCGGAGUCGAGAGGCUCGGAGGUCCCCUAGACUAGAAUAUUCGGUGCUGCCGGAAAGGCGACGACCCUUCCUUUUCUGUUGAACAAAGAGAGAAACGCUAGUUGAAUGAAGGAAUAAACAAACGAGUUUGA